This 253-nucleotide ribosomal RNA is filed under the name uncultured bacterium. RNAcentral describes it as "partial 16S ribosomal RNA". It matches the Rfam family "Bacterial small subunit ribosomal RNA", at positions 524 to 776 of the family's 1533-position model. The record is from RNAcentral.
UACGUAGGUGGCAAGCGUUGUCCGGAUUUAUUGGGUUUAAAGGGUGCGUAGGCGGCCUAUUAAGUCAGUGGUGAAAUAUCUCAGCUUAACUGAGAAGGUGCCAAUGAUACUGAUGGGCUUGAGUACAGAUGAGGUAGGCGGAAUUGACGGUGUAGCGGUGAAAUGCUUAGAUAUCGUCAAGAACACCUAUAGCGAAGGCAGCUUACUAGGCUGUAACUGACGCUGAGGCACGAAAGCGUGGGGAGCAAACAGG